GGUUGCCAAGGCAACACCGGCAAUUUAUGACAUCAGAGGCUUGAGAUCUUUGGUUCUCAGGGGGCUAGAAAGAUUCAAGUUCCUGUCAGGCUGAAUGAACCUGGCCUCUUGCACAAGAUAGCUUCUGUCAUAUGAAUGAAAACGGCCACAUAAAGGAUCGUGCUGAAUCCAAAUAUGAUAAUAACAGGGGGGCCAGGAAGAAGAUGAACUAGAAAGUGAAGAAAAAGCCACUGAUAUCUAGAAUGACCUGAAGGAUGAGAGGCAACCAAGCAGGGUGGAGUUCAGAGUCCUAGAGAAUGUCCCCUUACAAAAUCAAAGUUGACAGUUAAUGGACAUAAUGGCCCUGACUGAUGAAGGGGUUAUAUGCCCCUGGAAGCCCAUUAAAUUGAUUUCUUGGCCUGUU
Molecule: long non-coding RNA, 403 nt
Organism: Herpailurus yagouaroundi (jaguarundi)
Lineage: Eukaryota; Metazoa; Chordata; Mammalia; Carnivora; Felidae
Exons: 2
Source: RefSeq, a predicted model, not a curated record